UACGUAGGGUGCGAGCGUUAAUCGGAAUUACUGGGCGUAAAGUGUGCGCAGGCGGCGCGGUAAGUCGGGUGUGAAAUCUUGGAGCUUAACUCCGAAACUGCAUUCGAUACUGCCGUGCUUGAGGACUGGAGAGGAGACUGGAAUUUACGGUGUAGCGGUGAAAUGCGUAGAUAUCGUAAGGAAGACCAGUGGCGAAGGCGGGUCUCUGGACAGUUCCUGACGCUGAGGCACGAAGGUCAGGGGAGCAAACGGG
This 253-nucleotide ribosomal RNA is filed under the name uncultured bacterium. RNAcentral's name for it is "partial 16S ribosomal RNA". It matches the Rfam family "Bacterial small subunit ribosomal RNA", at positions 524 to 776 of the family's 1533-position model. The record is from RNAcentral.